AACGAACGCUGGCGGCAUGCCUAACACAUGCAAGUCGAACGAGACCUUCGGGUCUAGUGGCGCACGGGUGCGUAACGCGUGGGAACCUGCCCUUAGGUUCGGAAUAACUCCCCGAAAGGGGUGCUAAUACCGGAUAAUGUCUUCGGACCAAAGAUUUAUCGCCUUUGGAUGGGCCCGCGUUGGAUUAGCUAGUUGGUAGGGUAAAAGCCUACCAAGGCGACGAUCCAUAGCUGGUCUGAGAGGAUGAUCAGCCACACUGGGACUGAGACACGGCCCAGACUCCUAGGGGAGGCAGCAGUGGGGAAUAUUGGACAAUGGGCGAAAGCCUGAUCCAGCAAUGCCGCGUGAGUGAUGAAGGCCUUAGGGUUGUAAAGCUCUUUUACCCGGGAUGAUAAUGACAGUACCGGGAGAAUAAGCUCCGGCUAACUCCGUG
Molecule: ribosomal RNA, 433 nt
Filed under: uncultured bacterium
Lineage: Bacteria
Description: partial 16S ribosomal RNA
Rfam family: Bacterial small subunit ribosomal RNA
Source: RNAcentral